CCUGCGUCCUUGUCUAAGAAACCUCCACUAGCAGCUGCUGCCUCUUCAGAGGCGAAUCCCAGGCUGGAAGUAUCCUAGCCAGGUCUGCCUGUGACGGCAGGGCCCACCCUCCCACCAGGCCUGGGAGGCGGUAGGUGCCACCUCAGAGAGGGCCUGGCUGGCCCCAUGACAAGAACAAGAAGUGCUAACUGGUACCAGAGUCCCCAGAUAGAGCUGCGAGGGCCCUCGCUGUGGGCGCGAGCUCCGGAGUAGCAGGCUGCCCGUGCUCCCACUCCAACACUAAAAGCGGCUCCCUUAGGGGCUGAGCGUGGGUGCUCAGUGUUCACGCUAUAUCCCUUGGGCAAUGUGGGGUUGGAUGGGGCCCCCACUUCCAUUCCCAUGGAAGGAGGCCAGGUCCCCAGCCACCUCCCACUCAGCCAUGCACGCACUUGCUGGGCUGGCCUCCUGGGAAACACAGGUGACUCGAAUGAACUCUGCAUUUUCAACGUGCCUUCUACUGCUUCAGGACCUGGGGGUCCCCCUGACCCUCACUGGCUUGCCCCCAGCCCUGGGCCUGGCCCCACCUGUCCUGGAG
This 574-nucleotide long non-coding RNA is filed under the name Homo sapiens (human). Its description in RNAcentral is "non-protein coding lnc-SLC9A3R1-4:1". Lineage: Eukaryota; Metazoa; Chordata; Mammalia; Primates; Hominidae. The record is from RNAcentral.